This is a long non-coding RNA of Ostrea edulis (European flat oyster), 602 nucleotides long. RefSeq lists it as uncharacterized. The transcript is spliced from 3 exons. The record is from RefSeq and is a predicted model, not a curated record. NCBI's taxonomy places the organism in Eukaryota, Metazoa, Mollusca, Bivalvia, Ostreida, Ostreidae.
CACAUGAAGAUAAAGAAGGGCCUUUAAAAAGUCACUAUACCCAAAGCCGUGGUACAGUUGUUGACUUUGCUGACUAUAAACUAGUCGACAUUAGGACUGAUCCUCCUCCACAUUAUGAGAGACUUGUUCCAGAGAGAGAGAGAGAGAGAGGGGGGGGGGGGGGGGGGUCAGUGCCCAGGAAGUGGAUUACAGAAGUGUUGAGAAAAUGCAAAGGGAAAGGAAAAUCUUUCACAGUGAAGAAGUUCAUGGAUGGCUUUUUCGAGCCAGAGGAUUUGAAUGGUUUAUGCAAUAAAGGUGUUGGGCAUGAAAGAGCCGGAGUUUAAUCAUGCAUUCCAUUCAAAGGUACAGACGGCAAAGAGAGCCAUAAAACUCUUUCGCUCAACUCAGAAGGAUUAAAUUGUGCGGUGGAUAUUUACAAUUCUCUCCCUUUUAAGAGUGUAAUUUACAAAUACAUGCACUUUGAUAAUGUCAUUGUUGAUGAAAUUUGUUAUUAUUAUUUUUUUUAUUGCACUUUUUAAGGUGUUGAUGGUCAUACAUGUCUCACAUGGGUGUUAAAAUAACUCCACCAUAUAUGUGAUAUGUUUUUGCAAAAUUAAUAGAAA